Molecule: long non-coding RNA, 2783 nt
Filed under: Salmo salar (Atlantic salmon)
Lineage: Eukaryota; Metazoa; Chordata; Actinopteri; Salmoniformes; Salmonidae
Description: lncRNA (ENSSSAG00000092917.1)
Source: RNAcentral
AGAUAAAUGUGUUAUAACAUAGAGGAAAAUGUGUUAUAACACAGAGGGAAAGGUGUUAUAACAGUGAUAAAGGUGUUACAACACAGAGGUACAUUUGUUAUAACACAGAGAUAAAUGUGUUAUAACACAUAGGUAAAGGUGCUAUAACUCCUAAAUAAAGGUUCUAUUACUCAGAGAUAAAGGUUCUAUAACUCAGAGAUAAAGGUUCUAUUACUCAGAGAUAAAUGUUCUAUAACUCAGAGAUAAAGGUUCUAUAACUCAGAGAUAAAGGUUCUAUUACUCAGAGGUAAAGGUUCUAUAACUCAGAGAUAAAGGUUCUAUUACUCAGAGGUAAAGGUGUAACACAGAGGUGUAGAACAACAGUAAUGGUGGAACAUGAACCGAUAAACAAAGCCAGUGGUUUAUAUGCUCCUUGAGUUUUGUCCCCCUCAACUUCUCUCUUCUCUCCUCAGGAUGAAGAAGAAUGAAGCCUGUUUUGCAGCUCUACCGCCACGUUAAUCAUCACUUGUUGAAACAUUUAAAUAUACCCACAUUACAGUUCAAACAUAACACCAGUCAAAGCGAAUACCUUUGUACCAGUAUACCACAGAAUCUGUAAUGACAGUUUCAAGAGCAAUACGUGGAAUGUAGUUUGUUAACCAAACCCACCCUUUUGGGAAUUUACCAGGCUCUUAUUUUUCAGACGAGACCACUGUCAUUGCCCUGAAUGCCACCAUAUGACAAAGUUUGGCAAGAGAGUUUGACAGUUAUGAAUAAGACAUAUAAUUGGCAGCCUUCUAGCAGCCUGAAAGCUGUGGGGUUAAGACAGUUUGUCUCUUUAACCCGAGGCUUAGCAUGGAUAAAGUGAUAACAUAAGCCUGGCUGGAGAGAUAAAGUGGAACAGUCAACCUCUUGGUUGGACACUUCCCAGUUGUGCUGAUGUUUUGAUCAUCGCUCCUGCCCUCUGUUGAGGUAAGCUAGACAUCUACUGUUGGGUCUCAGGUCAAUGACCUUUAAGCAUUGGUACUUUUCUGAUUGUCUAAUUCUAAAUGUACAGUGUAUAAAAUCUUUAGAUACGCUGUCCCUCAAAUUGGUUUAUUUCAAAACGGGAGUAUGACGAAUUUGAGAGGAUCCGAGCAUGGCUGGGGAGAUUUGGACAGUCCAGUCUUUCUUAAUCCACAGAGAAGAUCACUGUUAUAAACCCUGCAUAAAAUCAGGAGACAAUGCUAGGUUGUUUUCUGUGUUGGCUUGACUUUCCCUUUUUUUCAAGUCAAACUGAAGACCAGAGAGCAGCCAGCUAGUAAAGCCUUCCCUUCCCCAGCCCAGGCCUCUCAAAACAAGCCUCUUUCUGUUGGGAAUCUCCAUGGAAACCAAGCAACUUACUUGAGGAGGGAUAUAAAACCUGCUCUUUGAGGGACUGAAGGAACACCUGCCACCUCUACAGAUGGGGGUCAAAAUAGACUGACACACUGCCACCUCAUAAUGAACAGAGGGUUGUGUAACAUUUAAAUGAGUCCCCGUCCCGAACAUCUGCUCAUCGUCAAUUACUUAUUCACUGAUAACUCCUAUUUUAUCUGUUAAAACAGACCCAAUCUUUACCGGAAAUCACUUGAUGCAAUAGUGUAGUCAUUCAUGAGUAUUGGUUCAGAUUGCAGAUCGGUUAAAAUGACAGUAAUAACUGAUAUGGACUGUUCAUCAUUCUAAGAUUGAAGAUGUUAGGUGCGUAAGGGAUUAGGGAAUCUGCAUCACUCUUGAAGUCCGAGAGCUCUGAAGGUUUUGAAAAUAAGAUAUUUGGUUGUGUGGCCGUUAGUUUGUACAUAAAAUGGGUUCCAUUGAAAUCCAGCAACUGCAUUUUUCUGAUAGCGACACCACACUAUCCCUUGGCUGUUACUGUCAAAGCAAAAACACCUGCAGAAUAGCCUCGCUGUUGUUAUUUUACUGCUGCUCUUUAAUUGUUACUGUUUUUUUAUUUUUUAAACUGCUGUCACGGCUGUUUAAAUGAUCGGACCAAAAUGCAGCGUCUGUUUCGUUCCACAUAUUUAUUAGAUCGUGAAACUUAAUGCAAUAUCAAAAUAAACUUAAGGACAAAACAACAAACCGUGACGCAGGAGGAACAAACACACUCACAAAACACAAGUGGGACAAACAUCAACUUAAAUAUGACCUCCAAUUAGAGACAACGACAAACGGCUGCCUCUAAUUAGAGGUCAUGCCAAACAAAAACCAACCUAGAAAUACAAAACUAGAAACUAAACAUAGAAAUACAAAAACGGACAAACACCCCCUGUCACGCCCUGACCUACUCUACCAUAGAAAAUAACAACUUACUAUGGUCAGGACGUGACAACUGCAUUGUUAGUUAAGUAAGCAUUUCACUGUAAGGUCUACACCUGUUGUAUUCAGCGCGUGUGACAAAUAACAUCUGAUUUGAUUUGAUUUGAUUUGAGAACCACGACAUAAAUAAAAUAAAAGUACUGUUAACCACACCUACAUUACUGGGAUUGUUAGCCACUCCGUCUUUUUGUAACCUUGAUUUUUAGGGCUAAUUGCCCUGACUUUCCAGAGUUCAGGGGUCAAACAGUUUCCCAACAAGCAUUAGGGAACAACAACAAACAAAUACUGUGUGUAGUCACACAGGAAUUCAAUCAACUAUUCAGAUUUUGCGAUUCAAAGGAAUCUCCUUCAAGUGUUACAAUCACUAUAAACAAAUCUUGUCCACCACCACUAUCACUAUCAAUACAGUGAGUCCCUCACAUUUCACAAGGCCCCAUCAACAAGUAGCAUGCAGGGGUCAUCCAUCCAGC